RNAcentral lists this ribosomal RNA (253 nucleotides) under uncultured bacterium. RNAcentral describes it as "partial 16S ribosomal RNA". It matches the Rfam family "Bacterial small subunit ribosomal RNA", at positions 524 to 776 of the family's 1533-position model. The record is from RNAcentral.
UACGGGGGGGGCAAGCGUUGUUCGGAAUCAUUGGGCGUAAAGAGCGUGUAGGCGGCCAGAUAAGUCCGCUGUGAAAUCUCGAGGCUCAACUUCGAGCUGUCGGUGGAAACUGUCUGGCUAGAGUCCGGAAGAGGAGAAUGGAAUUCCUGGUGUAGCGGUGAAAUGCGCAGAUAUCAGGAAGAACACCCGUGGCGAAGGCGGUUCUCUGGGACGGUACUGACGCUGAGACGCGAAAGCGUGGGGAGCGAACAGG